CUCUCACUUUGUAAUCGAUCAGCUGCAAUGAAGUGGGUAGAGUGGGUAGCCGCUGUCGAGGAUCGCCAUCGAGAGGGCGACGGCCGCGCUCUCGACGGUUCGGCCAGCAUCAGUGCUCACCCCACGGUUCUUGGCCUCAAGGUUUACCUCCUCUGCCCUCCCUCACCUUAUCUUCUUCGGUAUGCACUUGUGUUGUGUUGUGUUGCAGGGCCAGAGCAGCAACUGGGUGGUCGUCGAGUUCAGGCAUCCGAACCCCUCCAACGACGACUGGGUCGGCGUCUUCUCUCCCUCGGGUUUCAGGUACUCGACGGACUAUGGCAUGUUUAGGCUCUGCAUAGCGAACACGGAGGAGGACUGGGGGCCGGGAACGGAGCAGUACAAGUUCAUCGAUCGAAGCAGCCCUGGCUCGUCUUCCUCGCGCACCGUGUUCUCGGCUACUCGUCGGGUGGCUGGUACGAGACAAUGAUGGGCUCGUACGGGGAGCCGAUGGGCCGGGACGGGCUUCAAGACCUCUGGCAGAGGUACGAUAUAGCGGUCUUCGGCCACAUCCACGGAUACGAGCGCACGUGCCCCGUCUACCAGGCAAAGAGCCGGUGAGUCCAAGAUGAUAUGGAUCAUUACGGCGGGCGGGGCGGUUCAACGCGACGACCCAUGUCACCGUUGGCUGCGGCGGCGGCGCGAGCCUGUCUACGUUCAGAGACAGUGUGCCGUACUGGAGCUUCUUCAGGGACGCCGACACUUGAUGUUCGGCAAGCUCACGGCCAUCAACAGCUCGUUCCUCUUGUUUGAGUACAAGAAGAGCCGCGACGGCCAUGUGUAUGACCGUUUCAGUCUCGCACGACUACCGUCACCUGGUGGCCUGCUCCGUCGACAGUUGCCCCCGAAGCACCUUGGCCGUCUGAUCGAGCUCCGGACUCUGGAGACAUGUGUUGAUAGAUACACUGUUUGAUAUACUUUCAGCAUUGUUUUUAGUUACCAUUGGUUCUGAAUGCACUGAACCUUCUACCUCGACACUACAUGCUACAUAUCAAAAGGGCAAUGGUGUAGAA
RNA transcript from Zea mays, 1049 nucleotides. It is a transcript of the gene named purple acid phosphatase pseudogene, with no coding region annotated. The transcript has 3 exons. NCBI's taxonomy places the organism in Eukaryota, Viridiplantae, Streptophyta, Magnoliopsida, Poales, Poaceae. The record is from RefSeq and is marked validated.